Molecule: long non-coding RNA, 1484 nt
Organism: Chelonia mydas (Green sea turtle)
Lineage: Eukaryota; Metazoa; Chordata; Testudines; Cheloniidae
Exons: 4
Source: RefSeq, a predicted model, not a curated record
CCUAACUGUUUAAAAAUAGUCCUAUGCAAAUAUUUGUAAUAGAAAGUGAAACUUGCCAGUGAAGCUUCUAUUUAUUGCAGUGUGGGAGGAAUCCCCACAUGAGGCAGGUCAGUGUACAAAGGGGAGAAAAAGGAAAGAGUGGUGAACAAGGCUGAUGGAUGUUAGGGAGGAAAUUGAUAAGAUCAGAUGUGUUUGGAGUUUGUUGUUCAAACCUCCAGGUGUAAAUAUUCAUUUCUGUGUCAGAGGUGCACACGCUCAAAGUUGCUCCUGCUGGUUCUGCUGCCAGAUUGUGGGAGGAGGGGGGCGAGAAACAUGCGGGAGCAAGGAUCUUUCCAUAGACCAUCUCGGAAGCUCCCUCUUCUAUGGUUCUGGUCAUACCGGGCCACCAGCUUGCUAAAAAAUGAUGUAAAUUGUGAUACAGGCAGUAAAGAUUGAGAUCCUCACCUUACUAGAGAGGGUUAUGGCUUAGAGGUCCAAGCAUAAGGUUUGAAAGACUCUCUUGGACCAUGUCUUCAAACCCUAAGGAUAAGGUCAAGCCAACCUUUCAACUUCUCAAGGCUCUUCCACUUCUGCUGGGCAGAAAUAAGGAACCAGAAGACUGGAAGAGCAGCCACUCAGCCUACGAGGGAGAAGGAAAAAAUCAGAGAUGAAAUGCUGCAGGGCAUUUUGGUCAAGGUGGACAAACAGCCGGAGUUCCAGAGAGGAGGUUAUAGAGGGAGAAGGAAGCAACCCAGCAUGAGGCGAGAAUGGCUGCUCAGUUCCGGGGGCAUGACCAGAAGUUGAGGGGGAGGAGGACAGAGCAUGAGGAAGGAACUUUUUGAGAGGUUUCUUGUUCUCAUGGACACCAGGCUACAGGCCCCAGUGCCUGCUCCACUGCCAGCUGACAUUCCAGCUACUGUCUCAGACCCAUGCUCUGAGUCCCCACCACACAACCAUGUCCUGCAGUGCCGGAUAAUUCUGAGGUUGGCUGGCCUAUCAUCCAAGUAAUGAACAGUGCAUAGAACAGUCAGAUGCACCCAGGGCAACACUCCACCCCUGUGAACUUACAUGUGCAAAAUGUUCUAGAGGGGGCAAGAAGAACAGGCACACAGGGGACAUACAGAUCCGUUACCAGACAGACUAGUAGUUGCUCUAUGUGUAGAUUGGCAAUUUUGCACUUUUGUUGCUUCAGUUGUUCUGCUUUUUUUGUUUUAUUGUAUUUAGCUUCUUGCUGGCAGCUGGUCUGCUUAUAAGGUGAUUUAAUUGUCAUUUAAAUAAGUCUCAGUGUCUUGUUUGCAAACAAGAACAAGCUGUAUUUAAUUCAUAGGCUGUUGUGGCCCCAGAAAGUGUGGGACAAUUAUACCACUUCGUUUCCCUCUUAUCCAUAUCACCCUGCAAACCCAUCAUGUGAGCCCAGUAGGGAUCCCUGAUUUUCCUUGCAUGUGGGAUCCUGCCCCAGAACUAAUAGGAACAUUUUCUGGUUGCAUGUUCCUCCAGUUCAGAAG